RNAcentral lists this ribosomal RNA (468 nucleotides) under uncultured bacterium. RNAcentral's name for it is "partial 16S ribosomal RNA". It matches the Rfam family "Bacterial small subunit ribosomal RNA", at positions 28 to 507 of the family's 1533-position model. The record is from RNAcentral.
GACGAACGCUGGCGGCGUGCUUAACACAUGCAAGUCGAACGGAAAGGCCCUGCUUUUGUGGGGUGCUCGAGUGGCGAACGGGUGAGUAACACGUGAGUAACCUGCCCUUGACUUUGGGAUAACUUCAGGAAACUGGGGCUAAUACCGGAUAGGAGCUCCUGCUGCAUGGUGGGGGUUGGAAAGUUUCGGCGGUUGGGGAUGGGCUCGCGGCUUAUCAGCUUGUUGGUGGGGUAGUGGCUUACCAAGGCUUUGACGGGUAGCCGGCCUGAGAGGGUGACCGGCCACCUUGGGACUGAGAUACGGCCCAGACUCCUACGGGAGGCAGCAGUGGGGAAUAUUGCACAAUGGGCGGAAGCCUGAUGCCGCAACGCCGCGUGCGGGAUGACGGCCUUCGGGUUGUAAACCGCUUUCGCCUGUGACGAAGCGUGAGUGACGGUAAUGGGUAAAGAAGCACCGGCUAACUACGUG